AGGGAAUAUUGGUCAAUGGAUGCAAGUCUGAACCAGCCAUGCCGCGUGCAGGAAGAAGGCCUUCUGGGUUGUAAACUGCUUUUGCCAGGGGAUAAAAUUUCCAUGCGUGGAAAAUUGAAGGUACCUGGUGAAUAAGCCACGGCUAACUACGUGCCAGCAGCCGCGGUAAUACGUAGGUGGCAAGCGUUGUCCGGAUUUAUUGGGUUUAAAGGGUGCGUAGGCGGCCCUGUAAGUCAGUGGUGAAAUACUCCAGCUUAACUGGAGGGGUGCCAUUGAUACUGCAGGGCUUGAGUGGAGUCGAGGUAGGCGGAAUUGACGGUGUAGCGGUGAAAUGCUUAGAUAUCGUCAAGAACACCGAUAGUGUAGACAGCUUACUAGGCUUCAACUGACGCUGAGGCACGAAAGUGUGGGGAUCAAAC
Molecule: ribosomal RNA, 419 nt
Filed under: uncultured bacterium
Lineage: Bacteria
Description: bacterial SSU rRNA
Rfam family: Bacterial small subunit ribosomal RNA
Source: RNAcentral